GAUGAACGCUGGCGGCGUGCCUAAUACAUGCAAGUCGAGCGAACAGAUGAGGAGCUUGCUCCUCUGACGUUAGCGGCGGACGGGUGAGUAACACGUGGAUAACCUACCUAUAAGACUGGGAUAACUUCGGGAAACCGGAGCUAAUACCGGAUAAUAUAUUGAACCGCAUGGUUCAAUAGUGAAAGACGGUUUUGCUGUCACUUAUAGAUGGAUCCGCGCCGCAUUAGCUAGUUGGUAAAGUAACGGCUUACCAAGGCAACGAUGCGUAGCCGACCUGAGAGGGUGAUCGGCCACACUGGAACUGAGACACGGUCCAGACUCCUACGGGAGGCAGCAGUAGGGAAUCUUCCGCAAUGGGCGAAAGCCUGACGGAGCAACGCCGCGUGAGUGAUGAAGGUCUUCGGAUCGUAAAACUCUGUUAUUAGGGAAGAACAAAUGUGUAAGUAACUAUGCACGUCUUGACGGUACCUAAUCAGAAAGCCACGGCUAACUACGU
RNAcentral lists this ribosomal RNA (496 nucleotides) under uncultured bacterium. Its description in RNAcentral is "partial 16S ribosomal RNA". It matches the Rfam family "Bacterial small subunit ribosomal RNA", at positions 28 to 506 of the family's 1533-position model. The record is from RNAcentral.